UACAGAGGUGGCAAGCGUUGUUCGGAAUUACUGGGCGUAAAGGGCGCGUAGGCGGUCGGGCAAGUCCUGUGUGAAAUCCCUCGGCUCAACUGAGGAACUGCACGGGAAACUGCCUGACUUGAGUUCGGGAGAGGGAAGCGGAAUUCCGGGUGUAGCGGUGAAAUGCGUAGAUAUCCGGAGGAACACCGGUGGCGAAGGCGGCAUCCUGGACCGGCAUUGACGCUGAGGCGCGAAAGCCAGGGGAGCAAACGGG
RNAcentral lists this ribosomal RNA (253 nucleotides) under uncultured bacterium. RNAcentral's name for it is "partial 16S ribosomal RNA". It matches the Rfam family "Bacterial small subunit ribosomal RNA", at positions 524 to 776 of the family's 1533-position model. The record is from RNAcentral.